CCCAGUUCAGAUCGCAGUCUGCAACUCGACUGCGUGAAGUCGGAAUCGCUAGUAAUCGCGGAUCAGCAUGCCGCGGUGAAUACGUUCCCGGGCCUUGUACACACCGCCCGUCACACCAUGAGAGUCGGGAACACCCGAAGUCCGUAGCCUAACCGCAAGGGAGGAGCUGCCUAAGGUGGAGCCAUUAACUGGGGUGAAGUCGUAACAAGGUAGC
This 214-nucleotide ribosomal RNA is filed under the name uncultured bacterium. RNAcentral describes it as "partial 16S ribosomal RNA". It matches the Rfam family "Bacterial small subunit ribosomal RNA", at positions 1287 to 1500 of the family's 1533-position model. The record is from RNAcentral.